ACGAACGCUGGCGGCAUGCCUAACACCUGCCAGUCGCACGAGACCUUCGGGUCUAGUGGCGCACGGGUGCGUCACGCGUGGGAACCUGCCCUUAGGUUCGGAAUAACUCCCCGAAAGGGGUGCUAAUACCGGAUAAUGUCUUCGGACCAAAGAUUUAUCGCCUUUGGAUGGGCCCGCGUUGGAUUAGCUAGUUGGUAGGGUAAAAGCCUACCAAGGCGACGAUCCAUAGCUGGUCUGAGAGGAUGAUCAGCCACACUGGGACUGAGACACGGCCCAGACUCCUACGGGAGGCAGCAGUGGGGAAUAUUGGACAAUGGGCGAAAGCCUGAUCCAGCAAUGCCGCGUGAGUGAUGAAGGCCUUAGGGUUGUAAAGCUCUUUUACCCGGGAUGAUAAUGACAGUACCGGGAGAAUAAGCUCCGGCUAACUCCGUG
This 432-nucleotide ribosomal RNA is filed under the name uncultured bacterium. RNAcentral's name for it is "partial 16S ribosomal RNA". It matches the Rfam family "Bacterial small subunit ribosomal RNA", at positions 29 to 507 of the family's 1533-position model. The record is from RNAcentral.